This is a non-coding RNA of Spirochaetes bacterium GWF1_51_8, 87 nucleotides long. The record is from Rfam. Lineage: Bacteria; Pseudomonadati; Spirochaetota.
GGAGAGGUGCCAGAGCGGUCGAAUGGGCCUGACUCGAAAUCAGGUGUGCCCGAAAGGGUACCGGGGGUUCAAAUCCCCCCCUCUCCG